UUGCAAUCAUAUUACAUUGAAACACCGCUUCCCAUAAAGAUCACCGAAGUUAAGCAACGUCGAGCCUGGGCAGUACAUAGGUGAGUGACCGCUUGGGAAUACCAGGUGCUGUAAG
Molecule: non-coding RNA, 115 nt
Organism: Acanthosepion pharaonis
Lineage: Eukaryota; Metazoa; Mollusca; Cephalopoda; Sepiida; Sepiidae
Source: the annotation of a GenBank genome assembly